Molecule: small RNA, 88 nt
Filed under: Paenibacillus bovis
Lineage: Bacteria; Bacillati; Bacillota; Bacilli; Caryophanales; Paenibacillaceae
Description: BsrC
Rfam family: BsrC
About the family: The 301 nucleotide sequence from Kouji Nakamura has been trimmed to a highly conserved ~85 nucleotide long core to form this family.
Source: Rfam by way of RNAcentral
UGAAUCCAAAACAACAAAAGCCCUACCUCUCUUCUGUCCUUGCGGCUCCGAUGACCGCGCCAGUGUGAAUCAGAUCGUCAAAUUUCAA